RNAcentral lists this ribosomal RNA (499 nucleotides) under Pseudidiomarina sediminum. Its description in RNAcentral is "bacterial SSU rRNA". It matches the Rfam family "Bacterial small subunit ribosomal RNA", at positions 38 to 524 of the family's 1533-position model. The record is from RNAcentral. Lineage: Bacteria; Pseudomonadati; Pseudomonadota; Gammaproteobacteria; Alteromonadales; Idiomarinaceae.
GGGCGGGGGGGCAGCUACACAUGCAGUCGAGCGGUAACAGGAAGAAGCUUGCUUCUUUGCUGACGAGCGGCGGACGGGUGAGUAAUACUUGGGAACUUGCCUUUAGGAGGGGGAUAACCGCUGGAAACGGUGGCUAAUACCGCAUAAUGUCUACGGACCAAAGCAGGGGCUCUUCGGACCUUGCACCUAAAGAUAGGCCCAAGCGAGAUUAGCUAGUUGGUGGGGUAAAGGCCCACCAAGGCGACGAUCUCUAGCUGUUCUGAGAGGAUGAUCAGCCACACUGGGACUGAGACACGGCCCAGACUCCUACGGGAGGCAGCAGUGGGGAAUAUUGCACAAUGGGGGAAACCCUGAUGCAGCCAUGCCGCGUGUGUGAAGAAGGCCUUCGGGUUGUAAAGCACUUUCAGUGGUGAGGAAGGCCGUAAGAUUAAUACUCUUGCGGAUUGACGUUAACCACAGAAGAAGCACCGGCUAACUCCGUGCCAGCAGCCGCGGUAAU